AUGUUUAUGAGGCUGGGUUGGUUCAAGGGAUGUUGCUCUCAAAACAGAUAAAAGAUGUUAUCGCCGCUGAGAUAAAGAAGGGGAUGGUAGCUCUAAAUAUACAACCCCAAGUGGCCCCUGUCAAAUUACUAAAGCAUACUAGUUGUAGCCUUUGUGGAGGAGCACAUAAAACUGGAGCUUGUGAAGCACUGGAUGACAAUGAGUUAGAAGAACUAGAACAGGUGAAUUUUGUUAGUAAUAACGGCAGGAAGAAUAAUCCCUACUCUAGUACGUAC
Molecule: long non-coding RNA, 275 nt
Filed under: Cicer arietinum (chickpea)
Lineage: Eukaryota; Viridiplantae; Streptophyta; Magnoliopsida; Fabales; Fabaceae
Description: long non-coding RNA (CARI_LNC002920)
Source: RNAcentral